AAAAAAAGUAUAGCUAGGAAGAAAAAAAAAAGAAAUCAAGGAGCAAAAACAAGCAACAGCUUCGCAAAACAAUAACAAGGAUAGCUAGGUAUAACAUUAGCCUAGAAUGGAAGUGGAGGGAAGGGGACUUCAUUCGCAAAUAUUUUGAGUACAGAUAUACAUACUGUAUGAAUACUCCACCGCCGUCGAUCGGGAGACCAACACAUAAUUCCGUCGUCUAUGAAUGUAACCAUGGCCCAACGCAUCUAUCUCCUUCGACUUGUGAGCAUUACAAUGUUGGCGCGUGUUCCUUAAAGUAGCUGGAGCAGUUGGGACGGUACCAUCAGCAAAAUUAAUUACCGACAUGCAAGACGUGUCUAUAAUGUAUUAUUUUGUCAUAGUAUUCAGGAGCAAAGACAUCAAGUGGCAAUCGAGAAUCCGGAAGUUUCGUUGCCAUGUCAUAAAAAAAGAAAAUAAAGCAGGCAUCUAAGAAAAGUUUGCAACACACCAGGGAAUAUCAGAACGAAAAGAAACUACUAUGUUUAGUGCGUGAGUUUGCAUUAAUAUUUACCCUCAUAAAUACAAAUUCUGGCCCUCCAGGCAGGCAGGCAAAAUGAUGAACCCAUCGCAACACAUGUGUGGAUAAAAUUAAUGCGGUUCACACGGCUAAUGAAUUAAGCCGAGUCAUUGGAAUUAAGUGAAAAUGGUGGGCAGAAAAAAUGUGCAGCAUAUAAUUAGAUAAGGAGAACAGCUAAAAAUAACUUGGAUUUAAAACUAAAAAUAUCCGUCAUAAUUUAGCUCUUUUACA
Molecule: long non-coding RNA, 787 nt
Organism: Musca domestica (house fly)
Lineage: Eukaryota; Metazoa; Arthropoda; Insecta; Diptera; Muscidae
Exons: 3
Source: RefSeq, a predicted model, not a curated record